AGUGAACGCUGGCGGUAGGCCUAACACAUGCAAGUCGAACGGCAGCACAGUAAGAGCUUGCUCUUACGGGUGGCGGGUGGCGGACGGGUGAGGAAUACAUCGGAAUCUACUUUUUCGUGGGGGAUAACGUAGGGAAACUUACGCUAAUACCGCAUACGACCUACGGGUGAAAGCAGGGGAUCUUCGGACCUUGCGCGAUUGAAUGAGCCGAUGUCGGAUUAGCUAGUUGGCGGGGUAAAGGCCCACCAAGGCGACGAUCCGUAGCUGGUCUGAGAGGAUGAUCAGCCGCACUGGAACUGAGACACGGUCCAGACUCCUACGGGAGGCAGCAGUGGGGAAUAUUGGACAAUGGGCGCAAGCCUGAUCCAGCCAUACCGCGUGGGUGAAGAAGGCCUUCGGGUUGUAAAGCCCUUUUGUUGGGAAAGAAAAGCAGCAGGUUAAUACCCCGCUGUUCUGACGGUACCCAAAGAAUAAGCACCGGCUAACUUCGUG
Molecule: ribosomal RNA, 492 nt
Filed under: uncultured bacterium
Lineage: Bacteria
Description: partial 16S ribosomal RNA
Rfam family: Bacterial small subunit ribosomal RNA
Source: RNAcentral